GGCGCCGUGGCUUAGUUGGUUAAAGCGCCGCUCUAGUAAACAGGAGAUCACGAGUUCGAUCUCGUCGGUGCCU
Trichonephila clavipes is the source of this 73-nucleotide non-coding RNA. The record is from the annotation of a GenBank genome assembly. Lineage: Eukaryota; Metazoa; Arthropoda; Arachnida; Araneae; Nephilidae.